GUAGAAGAACAAUGGAAGGCCCUGAAAAUAGUGGAUUUGGCCCUUCAAUGUGCUCAACUCGAGCCAAGCACCAGGCCUGCAAUGAGGGAUGUAGUAAGGUCUCUUGUCGAAUUAAAUAAAAGAUGUAAAGAGAAUAAAUGAAACUUUUAGCAGUGAAACCCAUGAUCAACUUUACCAAAUUCAAACAUCUUUUUUUUUUUUUUUUUGCUUACAUAAAAAAUUGGACUAAGAAAAUCAUGAUGUUUUAGCUUAACAUAAUCGAGAAAAUCAACUCUUAGUCCGUUUUUAUUUGCCGUGGUGAUGGAUGUGUUGACGUGGAGUAUACAAGGCGAGGUGCCUUGGUGUAUGCUUUUUGCGGAUAAUGUAGUUUUGAUUAAUGAGUCGCGGCAAGGUGUUAAUGAUAAGCUGGAGGUUUGGAGACAAACUUUAGAGUCUAAAGGUUUCAGAUUGAGCAGGACCAAUACGGAGUAUUUGGAGUGCAAGUUUAGUGACUCGAGGCAAGAGGAUGAGGUAGUAGUGAAGUUGGACUCAGGAUAGUUUUAAGUAUCUUGGGUCUACGAUUCAGGGGAACGGAGAGAUAGAUGAGGAUGUCUCUCACCGUAUUGGGGCAGGUUGGAUGAAAUGGAGGCUCGCUUCGGGAAUUUUAUGCGAUAAGAAGGUGCCUCCCAAGCUUAAAGGCAAAUUCUAUAGAGUUGCAGUCCGGCUGGCUAUGUUGUAUGGAGCGGAGUGUUGGCCGGUUAAGAAUUCUCAUAUACAAAAGUUGAAGGUGGCGGAAAUGAGGAUGUUGCGUUGGAUGUGUGGAUUUACAAGGGCUGACGGGGUUAGGAAUGAGAUUAUUCGGGGGGAGGUGGGAGUGGUGUCGGUGGAGGAUAAAAUGCGGGAAGUGAGGUUGAGAUGGUUUGGUCAUGUGAUGAGGAGAGGCACGGAUGCUCCAGUUCAUAGGUGUGAGAGGUUGGCCUUGGAUGGUUUCAAACGGGAUUGGGAUAGACCGAGGAAAUACAGGAGAGAAGUGAUUAGACGUGACAUGGAGCAGUUACAGCUCACUGAGGAGUUACAGCUCACCGAGGACAUGACCCUGAAUAGGAAAGUUUGGAGGAAAAAUACUAGGAUAGAGGGAUAAGGUGGGUGGAUGUAUCGUAGUCAGUAGUUAGGAGGACUUUGGUGUCCUUUGUUUGGCAAUGUGCAAUAUUUUUGUGGAUGUUGUACCUAUGUUAGUUUUAUCAUGUUUCAUGCUUUUGAUGUUUUUGUAUAUUGUCGUUUGUCUUGAGCCGGGGGUCUAUCGAAAACAGCCUCUCUACUUCUUUAGAGGUAGUGGUAUGGACUGCGUACAUUCUACCCUCCCCAGACCCCACUAGGCGGGAAUAUACCGGGUUUGUUGUUGUUGUUGUAGCGUAACAACAUAGACUAAGAAAAGCAUGAUCUUUCAAAUCAAUUUUCAGUAAAAGCGAUUUUCACCUUCUCGUCAUAGCUCUUUUCGUCAUGCAUCACUGUCCGUAAUCAGUUUUUGCUUGUUACGUUCUCUAGCUUAUCCAAAAUAUUGUUGCUUUUUAACAAUGAAAUUACAGAAAUACUGAGAGUGAAACACUGAAAUGCAGCCAAAGGGAAUUGUUUUAUUUAGCCUGGUUGAGCUGUGCAUUUAUAUUGAACUUGCAAUUAGGGAUAGUUAGCUAGCAAACUAGUAAUUAGGAUUUAUUAAAAAAAAAACUAAGAUAAGCAAAAAGAAAAAGAUAAGCUUUUGUUGAAUUUGGUUUUAUUAAUGAUGUUCCUGUAAAAGAAUGCAAGAAUAGAAGACCUCCACCUUACUGGUCUUUCUUUGUGUUCCAUACUUCCAGUGACUGAGUUACUUCCAGAAAAUAAAAUAAAAAGAUAAGCUUUUGUUGAAUUUGGUCGUACUAAUGAUGGUUCCUGCAAAAGAAUGCAAGAUCAAAAGACCUCCACCUUAUCGAUCUUUCUUUGUGUUCCAAACUUCCAGUGACUGAACUACUUCAGAAAAUAAAAUAAAGAUGAAUGGAAAUGGCUUGUGGAUAAUCAUUGUAUUGCAUCCAAAUACAGAUAUUCAAAUAAGGUAGAUAUACCCCAGUAUGGGUUAGCAACAGGACUUCUAAAAAGACACAUAGGAAUACCAGAUCACGAGAGUACAGUAAUAGUCCUUGGAGAAUUAAUGAGAAUCCAGUAGAAAGGAAAUACCUACAAUGAUCAUAGUAUUACUCUAGAAGUUUUUGUUAUUCCAUUUCUGUUACUAUUUAAUGUUUCUUGGAAUUCGAUUAUCAUAUUACUUUGUUGUAGUGACUGUUCUUUUUAUGCUUUAUCAUGCGUUCUUUCACAUUUUGUCUUGGCUUCUCCACUCCCGUCAUUUUCGUUUUUCGAACUUCUUUGUAGUGCUUUUACUUGAGCCGAGGUUCUAUCAGAAACAAUCUCUUUACCUCCCAAGUUAAGGUCUGCCUGCGUACACACUACCCUCCCAGACUUGCUUGUAGGAUAACACUAGGUAUGUUAUUGUUGUUGCACUAGUAGUAGAAAGGAAAUAUGCAAGAAGUGCAAGCAUAAACUGGCAGGGCUAUUCUGCAAGUGAGUAACAGAUGAAAGACACACCUCAGUUACGAGAACUGCAACAACAGAGCACAGUACAAUGUGUACCUAAACAAUCAUCAGAGUAGGAGAAGCCCAACUUAAACGUUCCAGAUUCCUCAUCAUAUUUUUCAUCUAGUUGACUUGGAUGUGUAUUACAAGCCAAUCCUCACAAGAUUUUGAGAACUUUCAUGUUAAGUAUUCACCAGAAUUUGCAUCGGACAUGGAAACACCACAUAUACUGACAAAUCUCAGAAUUAUAGUAAUAGAGCUUCCCAUCCGAGUCUGAUCCAAGCUUCUGGUCUUAGCAAGUGUAGCAACCUCACAUAUGCAGACAAGUCUUGGAUUUCUAGACUCUAGUAAUAGAGUUCCGUUCAAAGUCAGAUCCACUAAAUUCUCAAGCUUCUGCUCUUAGCAAGUGCACUUUUGAGCUAAAAGAUUUGAGACAAACCCCGGGAAGAUAUAUGAAUCAGUUUCGCCUAGACAUUCAACAAACAUAAUAUCGACAUAGAGAUAAAAGCCUCCACACUCCAUCGACAUCUAAUUUCGAAAUUCUUAGAUAAAAUUAGGUCGCCAGAUUAGUUUGAGUGUGAAGUUGGCUUUUCAGGACAACUUGAGAGUGCAUUUGAUGUCUUUUCUCAAACUAAUAUUGCCCUCAAAGGGUACAAAAACAGAGUAAACAAAAAUAAAGUAAAUUAUGAACGGUUAUCAUACCUGUUAAUUGAUGGAGUCAUCCGAAUCAAAAUCAACUCGAAUACAAUCCAUAGCAAAUAGCAAUUAUUAAUCAUGAAAUUUAGAUAUAAACGGAUUCAAUUAAAACAUUUAAUGAUAAUCACAAGGACCAAUAUUAAGUUCUAAAAGUGUUCUGAAUUGUAAGAAAUAUAUAAAUCAACGGAGAAAAAAAAAAAGAAAUAUACAAAUCUGUUGCUACAAUGCAAGUAAAUGGUGCAGGAGAAUAAAUCUUAGUUCACAAGAGUUAUCCAACACACCUUACUCGAUUAACCUGAAAAUGAUUGUAAUGCAUUUAACAAAUUUUAUUGGAUUGAAGAAUUUUACUAAUCUAAUUGGCUAAUUACUUGAAUGUUCAUCUCCUUGGUGAGUGCUCAGUUCUCCACUUCGAAAUUUUCUUCCCAUUUUCCUUAUUGCAAUGAAAUAUGAAUUUGCAAAUUAUUAGCAGCAACUUACUUUAGUACAUUUAAUGUGAAUACGAGGGUGUAUUUGAAAAAGUCUUUCCAUCUCACGAUUAGGGUUUAUUUGAAAA
RNAcentral lists this long non-coding RNA (3829 nucleotides) under Capsicum annuum. RNAcentral describes it as "long non-coding RNA (CANN_LNC004380)". The record is from RNAcentral. Lineage: Eukaryota; Viridiplantae; Streptophyta; Magnoliopsida; Solanales; Solanaceae.